UGAAACUGGAGGACUAUGAGGCUGCUUCGACCACAUUUGAAGAGGCACUGGAGCUGGCUAAAAAUCAGCAGAACAAAGAGGCCCUAGACAGCAUUGAAAAGGCUCUGCGAGACGUCAACCAAAAACUCUCCCAAAAUGUCAGUCAACAGGUGGACGAAGAUAAUAACUACUCGGUAGCCAAUCAGAAUCAAGAACAGAUUCGCGAACAGAGAACUCAGACUCCUCCCAAAGUGGAGAAACCGAAAGAAGAGCCGAAGGCGAAAGCAGAAGAGCCGAAAAAAGUGGAAGAGAAAAAAGAAGACGAAGUUGUUGGAGACGGAAGAGGAGACGGAGAUGAGAUCCCGGAGGAGCAGGAACUGGAGGGAACUGAAGCUUAUGGGGAGGAAGAUUUUGAACAAGAUGACGAAACAGCAACUACUUCUAGAGAUAAAUGAAUCUAUAGCUUCUUAAAAAUUUUGAUGACGUAUUAAAUCGUAUACUGAAAAAGAGUCAUGAUUACAAAGUUUAUCGAUUGCUGCAACACAAAGUAGUGCUGUGAUCGUCAAUUUUGGAAUCGAUGACUCAGUGUUAUGUAUUUUCAUUGAUUCUGUCCCAUCG
This is a long non-coding RNA of Symsagittifera roscoffensis, 597 nucleotides long. RefSeq lists it as uncharacterized. The record is from RefSeq and is a predicted model, not a curated record. The transcript has 2 exons. Lineage: Eukaryota; Metazoa; Xenacoelomorpha; Acoela; Convolutidae.